GGACGAACGCUGGCGGCGUGCCUAAUACAUGCAAGUCGAACGGUCUUUCUAUGGAAGCUUGCUUCCACUGAGAAGAUAGUGGCGAACGGGUGAGUAACACGUGGGUAACCUGCCCAUAAGAGGGGGAUAACAUCCGGAAACGGGUGCUAAUACCGCAUAGUUUCUUGAUUGCAUGAUCGGAAGGAAAGACGGCCUUUGUGCUGUCGCUUAUGGAUGGACCCGCGGCGUAUUAGUUAGUUGGUGAGGUAACGGCUCACCAAGACGAUGAUACGUAGCCGACCUGAGAGGGUGAUCGGCCACAUUGGGACUGAGACACGGCCCAAACUCCUACGGGAGGCAGCAGUAGGGAAUCUUCCGCAAUGGACGAAAGUCUGACGGAGCAACGCCGCGUGAGUGAAGAAAAGGUUUUCGGAUCGUAAAACUCUGUUGUCAGAGAAGAACAAGUUGGAGAGUAACUGCUCCAGCCUUGACGGUAUCUGACCAGAAAGCCACGGCUAACUACGUGCCAGCCGCGGC
RNAcentral lists this ribosomal RNA (516 nucleotides) under uncultured bacterium. RNAcentral's name for it is "bacterial SSU rRNA". It matches the Rfam family "Bacterial small subunit ribosomal RNA", at positions 27 to 518 of the family's 1533-position model. The record is from RNAcentral.